GCGAUGGUGGUAUAGAGGUUAGCAUGGUUGCCUUCCAAGCAGUCGACCCGGGUUCGAUUCCCGGCCAUCGCA
Non-coding RNA from Daphnia pulex (common water flea), 72 nucleotides. The record is from Rfam. Lineage: Eukaryota; Metazoa; Arthropoda; Branchiopoda; Diplostraca; Daphniidae.